Molecule: transfer-messenger RNA, 392 nt
Filed under: Porticoccaceae
Lineage: Bacteria; Pseudomonadati; Pseudomonadota; Gammaproteobacteria; Cellvibrionales
Also listed under: 1 other name
Description: HTCC2207 sp002685715 Standard tmRNA
Rfam family: transfer-messenger RNA
About the family: Bacterial tmRNA, also known as 10Sa RNA or SsrA, is named for its dual tRNA and mRNA-like properties. Its role is to liberate the mRNA from a stalled ribosome.
Source: RNAcentral
GGGGGCGUUCUGGAUUCGACGCGGGUUACAAAACCUCCGGUGCAUGCCGAGAUGGUGACCAAUCUCGUUAAUCCAAAGUCGCAAACUUAUAGUUGCCAACGACGACAACUACGCACUAGCUGCUUAAAACCCAGUGUAGUGCCGUUUGACUGGAGCCGUGCUUAUGCGUCCAGAGUUCUAAACCCUUUGGGGAGAGGAAUGCUCAAAUGUCAUAUCUCAUGAGAUCGUAAUGAAGCUUGUUCGGGGCAGAUUUAUUAAAACUUUACCGAAAUCGUUUGUUAUGCGCCCUGACAGUCGGGUUGUAAUAGAUUAAAUUUAAAGACUGAACUAAGCAUGUAGAGCCGCAGGUAGCGGACAAGCGGACGCGGGUUCAAUUCCCGCCGCCUCCACCA